This 254-nucleotide ribosomal RNA is filed under the name uncultured bacterium. RNAcentral describes it as "partial 16S ribosomal RNA". It matches the Rfam family "Bacterial small subunit ribosomal RNA", at positions 524 to 776 of the family's 1533-position model. The record is from RNAcentral.
UACGGGGGGAGCAAGCGUUGUUCGGAUUUACUGGGCGUAAAGGGCGCGUAGGCGGCCACCGCAAGUCGACUGUGAAAUCUCCGGGCUUAACUCGGAACGGUCAACUGAUACUGCGCGGCUAGAGUGCAGAAGGGGCAACUGGAAUUCUCGGUGUAGCGGUGAAGUGCGUAGAUAUCGAGAGGAACACCUGCGGCGAAGGCGGGUUGCUGGGCUGACACUGACGCUGAUGCGCGAAAGCCAGGGGAGCGAACGGG